AUUUCAACAGGGAUGUGCACAGGAGUGCUACACGAGCCUUCCGGCAUGGACACGACUUGUUCGCGGCGACCAAUGGAGCCGGUUCACCACCUGAGAUACCGCCAGGGGAGCAGCAAGCAAGCCGAGACAAAAGGCGUCUGAACAGGCGUGUUCCACAUGCACUAAGGCGUGGACAGGACUCGCUCGCAGUGGACCCUGGGGCCGGUUCACCACCCGAAAUACCGGCAAAGGAGCAACAAGAGAAGCGUAGACAGGACUCUCUCGCGGUGGAGCCUGGCACCGGUUC
Molecule: long non-coding RNA, 286 nt
Organism: Rhipicephalus sanguineus (brown dog tick)
Lineage: Eukaryota; Metazoa; Arthropoda; Arachnida; Ixodida; Ixodidae
Exons: 3
Source: RefSeq, a predicted model, not a curated record